AAGAGAUGCUUGGAAGACUCAGAAGCCUUUGGAGUAAAGAAAGCUAGAACUGAAGCUCGAAGCUUGGAUUCUGCCGUGCCACUCAUGAAUGGCGACACAGAAGAUGAUGCUGACAAAAUGCACGUUGAUAGGGAGUUUGCUGUUGUAACAGGUGGGAGUGGACAGUUUCCUGUUAGCUGCAACAACAAUCCAAUGGUCGAAGACACCAAACAGCAGGAGAGUGGUUCUGUUGGACCAAAAGAAAUAGAAAUAUAUACUGUGUCAGCAAUGCAGACCCCCUGUCGUUGCAGGAAUCAAUAUGAAAAACAGUAGCUCCGUAUCGAAUACAUUGACAAAUGGAUGUGUCAUCAAUGGACAUUUGGACUUCCCCUCCACGACCCCGCUCAGUGGGAUGGAAAGCAGGAAUGGCCAGUGCUUGACAGGAUCUAACGGAAUUAGCAGUGGAUUAGCCCCAGGACAGCCGUUUCCGAGUAGCCAGGGUUCUCUCUGCAUUAGUGGGACUGAGGAGCCAGAGAAGACCCUGAGAGCUAACCCUGAGUUGUGCGGUUCUCUGCACCUGAACGGGAGUCCAAGUAGCUGCAUAGCCAGUAGGCCUUCCUGGGUGGAAGACAUUGGGGAUAACCUGUACUAUGGACACUACC
This 641-nucleotide small RNA is filed under the name Pongo abelii (Sumatran orangutan). Its description in RNAcentral is "processed transcript". Lineage: Eukaryota; Metazoa; Chordata; Mammalia; Primates; Hominidae. The record is from RNAcentral.